UUUGUCCUUCAACAGGAAAGAAAUAGAGUUCAUUCCCAGCUUGCAUACCUUGUGGUUUGAGCUGAAGAAUGUUACACUCUAGUCUAUAUUCAACUACUGGUUUAAAUUAUAGCCUUUAGAAAAUAAUCUAUCAUUCACUUUAAUUAAUAUCAACAAUCACAGAGUCAGUUGGAAAAAAACCCCACACAACAGAAAAUGCUAAUGCAAAAUUAAAAAAGUUUCUGUCCAUUUUUUUGUUCAUAAAAAACAUCAAAGAGUCUCAUCUAUUGGCAGCUUUGGUACUCUGUAACCUUAGGCUUCUUUCAUGUUGAUCCAAGGAAGGUUCACAACCAGUUUUUUUUAGUCGGUGGCCCAUGAGACACAUCUGGCCCCAUCAUUUCAUCUGUGGUCAGAAGAGACACAAAGUGCUCUGCUAGACUGUUUUACCACAAACUCUUUUUAGUACCUUAUUCCCCUGAGACAAAUCCUUGGGCCUGCCCUUCCUACCACUGUUUGGAGAUUCAUCCCUGUGGAAAAAGUAGUGGCUGAAGUUCCCCUCCAGCACUGGGCCAGAGAAGUCAGCUUUCAGGAUUUGGUCUCAGAUCCUGUUGGGUGCCUUUUCCAGGCCUUUUCCUGUUAAAAUUGGUGACUUCAAGACACAGGAUCUUCUCCUACAAGUGGAAUAUUCUUGUCCUCAUCUGAAAGGUCCAGAUGUCACCGAAAACAGGGUGGUAGGAAACAUAAAAAGCAAAAGAAGAUGUUUUCUUCUGCAGAUCUUAUGUGCAAGCACUUGAAUGCAGCUGAAAGGUUCAACAUGACAUAGAAAAGAACAAAUGUGCCCUCUGAGGAUUCAGUGGGCAGGUUUGUGAAUCUCCAGCUGAGAGUGUGUGUUGUGUUUGACUGCUAGGCUGGUGCCAGGGAUCAUUUGUAUUACUUAGAAACUUGUCUUCAUAUUUUCAGCUUGGAGUCUGUAUGAAGCCCUUGGGUCAACAAUGCAUCUCUUCUACCAAUGAUUUGCUGGAACAAACUGAGUAAAAUUAGGGCACAGUAUACCAAGAACUUGUGGUAAACGAUUUGGUUUUGACUCAUGAGGUAAAGAAAUUGUGAAGACAACAUUUUAUGAGUUAUAUUCCACCUGAACAGCAACAUUCAUUUCUGUUCUAUUAUUCCACCACACUACCAGCAGCUAUAUAAAGCUUCUCUUCAAAACACAACUCUGCAGCAUAAUUUACUGAAACAUAGCGCAUUUAUGGUAAUUGGCCACAAUGAAAAUAAUCUUUUUGCAAGUAUUAUUCUAUCUCUUAACAAUACACUGACUAUAUUGUGACUAUACAGUCAUGUCAAUACUGUGUCCCAUGCCCCCUAUCACUGAAAGAGUUGUUCACAGCAUAUUUCUUGCAUUUCUUUGUAUCUUCUUUUUCCUGAGGGUAUGAGGAUGAGAAAGGAGAAGUUUGCAUCUUCAGAUCUUAAAAAGAAUUUCUGCAGGAUCUGAUGCCUGCAGUUCCCAGCUCUGUGAUGCCCUGAGGCCCUGCAGAAUGGUAACAGUCUUGUUCACUCUUGGGAAGAUAACAGCUGCAGUGUCCAGUAUUGCUUGUCUGGGUUACUGUGUAGAGCUACAAGUUCAGUCAGAAAUUUGCUCUUAGUGUAUACUCAUCUUUCUAGAUUUGCUUUUUGAGUUUUUAGAGGCUGGUGGAGUAGAGGUUGACUGAGUUUCCUAAGUAAUCUGUUUUUUCAGAAGGUUCAAAAAUGAUAGCUGACAAUUUUGCUGCCCAGGAACUUUGUUCAUACAUUUUCAUUUUUUUCUUCAUGGUUUAUUGUUUAAAUUUUAUGAUUGUACAUUCAUUACAAUAAUUUUUGUGAACAUUCCUUUCUUUCUGCAUUGCCCUCUAAUCUCAUUCUCAAUGCCAGUAGACUGCACUUUUCCUCAAGAAGAAAAGUAGAAGAGGUAAAUGCAUGAGGUAGCUCAGUCCUACAACCCAUUGUUUCAUACUUUUAUGUCUCUAGCAGAAGAAUGGCCCCAUGCAGUUUGCUGGCAACUGGAAUCUCUGCUCAAGUGUCAGGAUUACAUCAUCUCCGUGGCAUCAGGAAAACUUUGGAAUAUGAUAGCAAGGGACAGGAAGGUUGUCUUACCUCUGUCUGAAGUGCUGCCAAAUGAAAAAAAAAACAAACAGUGUUGCAUACUCUUACAUUACUCAUAUAAUACAGAUUAUUCUAGUUCAGUACUUUGCUGAAUGAGGUCCUUUCUGAACUUCUACAAUUGCAGGUUUUCUGUGGGUGCUUUCUCUUGGCCUUGUCUCUGCAUUUGUCUUUCUUACACUUCAGUCCUGCUUAUGUACUUGAGGAAUACCUAAUGUUAACAAAUAAAAAGGGAGAUGUUGAUGGCUGCAGUUGAUUAGGCAUCAUCCGCUAGUUACUGAAGAUAAAGUUACUGUUUCUAGCAAAUACUCCAACUUUGAAAUGGAGGUUUGUCUUGAUUUAGUUUAUUCCUUAUGGUAUCAAAAUGUGGUGACAGCUUUAAAAAGAAAAAUAACAUAGUGCUUCAGGGAGCAAAACCAGAGUACAGCAUUUUUAAUGGUUUUAAUUAUAUUACAGCACUGUUGGUCUCCUUUUUUUAAGUAUUCACUCCUCAUAUUUUUCUUUUGUUAGUAGCCAGUUGACAAGGGGAAGCUCUUAUUCCCUCUUCAUAUUGUUACGUUCAGCUUUUUUAAUUCCAGUUGGAAACAUUUUGUUUAUCAGAACUAUAUGAAGAGUUGUUAAGUGGAUCCUCAUUAGCUUCAGAUUUUGAAAGACCCCUUUGGUUAAAGCAUAGCACAUCACUCCUCCUUUUCUAUGCUCCCACAUUGAUUGUACUGGUAGAAACUUUUUGCCUGUAUGCAGGGGAGAGAGAUGACAUCAAGAUUCAAGCAAGGAAACCCUGUGGAGUGAAACAUUUCUGUUUAUGAGCAGUGAUAACAACGAAACAGUUGAGCAACAGCCAGAACAGCCGUGCAUGCAUGGUCUGCAUUGCUGCCUUCAGGGCUUCCAUUGUCAAUGCCUGUACAAGAACUCUUCUACCCUGACCACCUUUGGGACAGGUGGCAUCUGCUGGCCUGAGACCCCGCCAUAAAUACAAGGCAUGGGGAAGUGGUUUAGACAGGACCCUGUUUGGGAUGAAGGGUCCACUUACAUGAAUUUCUGCACGGGGUUAUUCCUUGAAAGGAGAGCAGUGGUAUAAAAAUCACAUCUUCAAGGGAACAUUCUGAGCCUGUAUGAAACUUCCAGCCAGCUUCUGUUGGAACCUUCAAAAGGUCAUCUGAUGCUGCAGCCUUCAGAAACCUGCCAUGAGCUUCAGGCCCAAGGAAACCUUCAGUACAGCUGCCAGUCCUGACAAUGUAUCUAUGGCAGAGAAUUGAUAGGAAGAGGACCUUAGUUUUUUCACCUGAUUUUGGGUGAGAUCAAGCUAGAACCAAUGAAACCAAAGGAUGGGGAGAAUUAGUUUGGACUUUGCCAGGGAACUUGAUCAUUUUGCCACCUCUAGCAUGAAAAAUUAUUCUGUGGCUGAUAUACUGCCAAGAAAAUGCCAAAUGCAAGUUAUGCAUCAGGAUUUCUAGGCCAGGUCUUUAAAUGUUACCCAUCUAUCUCACCUUUAUUUUACACAUUUACUAUAGUUGAAUGCUUUAAAGGUAGAAGAAAUGAACAGUCAAUUGCAGGAAUAGGGGAAAAAAGUAAAAUAAAAAAGCUUAAUAUUUACAGCUGCUAAAUCUAUCCUUUUUUAUACCUCUAUUCCCUCAGACUAUUUUCUGGUUUGGAGCUCAAUAGUCAUAGGUGAUUUUAAAAUCUUCUUUAAGAAGUUUAAUCCUCAAGGAUGUAACAACAUACAGCAGAUUCAUACAAGGACAGUAAAAUCCAUGGGGUAGACUUCCAGGAAACUGGAGACAUGUCAUCACUGAAAGUUGACAUCAUUGACCUGACAGAUUUUAAGGGAUUUUCUUCUUUCAGUUGAACUUUCCCUAGUGCAAGGAAACAGACUGAAUUAUCUCUUGAGAUCCACCCUAUCCCUCCACUCUGUGAUCUUAUCUUGGAUUUCCUAGUGGCUUUGUUAUUGUUUUCUGCUGUGCCAAGUAAUGUAGCAACCUUUGUAAAAUUAAGCUUCUAUUUUAAUAAACAGACACCCUUAUGGGAACCCCAAAGACAGUAACAAGAGGUUUAAAAAGCAUAACCUAAAAAGAAAGGUUGAGAGAAUGGGGUUUGUUUUUCUGGAGGAGAAGAGACAAAGGGGGAUGUGAUACAUUUUCCAGAAUGCAAAGUCUGCUACAAAGAGGUCAGCAAAUAAAAUGGUCCCCUGUAGCUGUCAGGAAAAGGUCAACAGGAAUUUAGCUUAAUUUACAGGAAAGAAUAUUUGGGUUCCAUGUUACAAAGCAAAUUCCCAACUUUCAGAGUGAUGAAACACAGUCUGCUUAGGGAGGCUGUGGCUCUCCCCUCCGUUCGCCUCAAGAGCAGGUGAGAAUAACAUCUGUCGGGGGUCAUAUAUUCCUUAUUGCUGCAGCAGUGUGGUGGAUCAGAUGAAGCUGAGCCUCUUGCAGUCUUUUGUCUAUGAAAAAACCAGGAUCCAUGAGUGAAAUGCUACCACUGAUGACUCAGUGUCACACAGAGUGCGUCCCCCCCCGAAAGCCUGGUCCAACAGCUCCUCAAGUCAGCCACAAUGCCUGGAAAAACAAUGUCCUCUGGUAUCCUGGCUGGGGACCACCAGGAGUCCCUGGGAUGUAGAGUGCUGAGUCUAGCAGGGAAUUUUGAGGAAGUAUGGUAUAUGUUUCCUCUGUUCUCUCUCCUGAUGAGUGCAUCUGACCACUUUUAGAGAUGGGAUACUAAGCCAGACAAGGCUAGUUCCACUGGGUAUAGCUACACUUUAUUCUUACACUGUUUAUUUUCAGAACCCUGAAGAAGAACCACAGAAGAGCAAUACAAGAGUUUUAUCUUGUGGAUGUCUGAGAAAAGCUGGGUCCCCAUCUAUUCCUUCCUGGCAGGAAGAAGAAGGCAUGUCCUCAGCAGAGGCAGCUGUCAGGAACCUGUUUAAAAUGUCCUUCUAGGACUCAAAUCUGGGAAGUAAUAUGGUUUUUGAAAACAUUUAAAGCAUUUGAGCUCCCUUUGUAUGCACAGCCCCACCAGCUAAAACACCUUGACUCUCCAAGCUGCAAGAUGUGUUAAAGGCAAGUCCUUCCUCCACCCCAGCCUAGCCAAACCUUCACCUUAAUCCUGAAGCCACUUGGUGCUGAGAGCACAGAAGUUGUGGGGCAGCCUCUUCUAGCUCUCCAUUUAUACUGAUGGAAGAGAAAGUGGUUCCCUCCAGAGAGACCCCACAAGGAGGUGCUGUGAAACCCCAGGAGCCUGGGGAGCCCUCAGGAGGAUGCAUAUCCAAACCACAGCUCUCCCCUCUCCUGUCUUUGUACUGGCUGUGGGCACCGAGGUGGCAGGCAGCUUGCCAUUCUCCACAUGGACUUACUGCAGCCUCUGUUUUUCUUCUUUUCUUUUUUCCUUUUUAUUUUUUCCCUCUUUAUUUAUUAUUUUAUUUUAUUUUACUUUUCCUUGCCACAGGCUAAAACAUGGUCACAGGGAAGUCAGAGGCAAAGCUGUCAUCUGUUUCUUGGGGACCCAGAGUUUGUAUGCAGCCCAAUGUGUUAAGGUCAAGAUCCACACUCCAGAGAGAAGCAGAUGGUCUCCUGAGUGAUGUGUUUUCACUCACUGAGCAUGAAUAUGAAAAAGCCUUCUUAUUUUCCAAGCACAUGAAAGUCAGUAAUGUAGAACAGUGUCAGGGAAUCUCAAUAUGUGAAUAAACGUUUAUUUUGGUCUUUGUGCUCACUAUGGAUUAAAUAAACUGAGAUUAAAUGAUACCAGAAUAAUAUAUAUCAUUGUUUUUAUUGACUUGGCUCAAAUGUCAGAGCUGUGCCAAAAUACUGUUUCAAUUUGUGUAGAUUUACAGAAAUUCUGACCUUCAUAAUGAGCUAAACAAAAGCAAUUCUGGAGUCAGUAAAUGUUCACUUUUCAGAAGUAUCUAUGAAUUAUAAAUACCAAAUACUCUGUAUGAAUGCACUUAUGGUGUUGCAGAGCUGUACUGCUGAGUGAAUGGGGUGAAGACAGUUGCUGGAGGCUCUCUGUGUACAAAUUAUGUUGAAUCCUACACUCUUUAGCAAAGAGCCUUAGGCGAAGGCACCAGCAAAGGACCAUCCCCACCCUUGACAUUCCACAGGGCACAACACACCAUCUCCAAACCUGUUCCCCUCUCUAUACCUCCUUCACCGUCAGGAAGUUUGAAGGCCUGUGCCCUUCAUGGCCUUUCUUCCCCCACCCCUCACCCUGCAGAAAUGGGGGAACAGUGGGACAAGUCACCCUAUCACCUAACAUCUAGGAACCUGGACAGGUCAUUUCGUCCUGGCCAAGGGCAGAGUCACCUGGGUGGCUUCUCUGAGUUCAGGCUGCAUAGAGAGGCCAGUAUCUGCUGCUUCUUCCCAAACAGCUGUGUUUAAGAGGGCAGGGAGGAAUGUCAAAAUGUUUUUAAUAACCAACACAGCAUUUGGAGCAUUUAUUUCAAGUCUUAUUGAGCAAGUGGAAAGAGACCCAUGGAUUUCAGUGAGAUUUGUAUGAGACUUUGAAAUUGAUUGUAUAUCUAAAAGGGGUACAAAGCAGAAAAAUUAGGGAAAAUUAGGCUCUUAAGCAUUUUUUCCCCCUAAUCCUUCACCUGUA
Parus major (Great Tit) is the source of this 6696-nucleotide long non-coding RNA. RefSeq lists it as uncharacterized. The transcript has 3 exons. NCBI's taxonomy places the organism in Eukaryota, Metazoa, Chordata, Aves, Passeriformes, Paridae. The record is from RefSeq and is a predicted model, not a curated record.